Molecule: long non-coding RNA, 3203 nt
Organism: Oreochromis aureus
Lineage: Eukaryota; Metazoa; Chordata; Actinopteri; Cichliformes; Cichlidae
Source: Ensembl
GGCUAAAUCCUGCUUGAAAUCUUUCAACAGUUUAAUGUCUUCUGCAGACAGAUCACUUAUAUUCACAGUCUCUGAUUUUUGUUGCUUUUCUUUAAAUAUUUUCAGCUGUUCAUGAAAAUUUGAAAAGAACUUGUCUGACAGGCUGAGCACUGCAGUGAUGGCUUCUCCUGCCAGUGUGACCAUGUGGACACCUUGUAUAACUGUCAGAAUUGCUUUUGCUUUUCCUCCAGUGUGUGAUUUAGCUUUUUCAAUCACUGUGAAGAGGGAUGAAUUCAGUUUGUUCUGCCAGCUGAGGUCUGCAUAGAAUGGCUGUAUUGCAGUUUUGCUUAACUCUGUGAAAACGGCCAGCAGCUCUUUCUUUCUUCUCUCGUUGUUUAGGUCAUGAAGUUGUUUUUUGUCCUCAAGUUGUGAAAGAAUAAUGAAGUCUACUAAUGAAGAUGGAGGCUCUUUUUCUAUUUUUAAUUUCACUUCGUGAUCAGUUGUCUCUUUCACUAUGCUUUUGAUUCCUUCUAAUAUUUUUUCAAGUAUUUUAUCUUCUAUCUUUCCCACUCCAAAGGUGAUGAGUUCUUCUGCAAUUUGUUUAGCUGUGUAUUUUACGGCAUUCUUCAUAUUUGCCUUUAAAACAACACUGAGGCCAUCUUUAGCUUGUCUAGAGAGAAAUUUUGGCAUUGACUUAAGCUGUUUGCCAAAUUUAAGUAAGGUUUUAAAACAUUUGAAGCCCUUUGAUAUCAGCUUUCCAACUCCGAACCCAAUGAGAGAGACACCAAUAGAAAUGGCUUUGUCUAUAGCCCAUGACUUCCAGCUGAAUUCUCCUGUCCUCAUGGCCUCAAUGCCAGUGAUGCAGUCUGAUAUUCCCUCAGUAAUGAGUCCCAUUCCAACUAGAGCAAAUGUGCCAAAUGUAAAUACAGUGAGCAGUGCUCCUCCAACAAUCUUUAAAACGCCAAGAAAGAACACCAGAAGACCUUCCCAUGAGAAACGAGGCUUUUCUUUCACAGAAAACACAUAUUUCAGACCUCGUCUGUAGAGAUUGUAAACUUCAUCUUGGAGAUCUUCAUCAGUAUCUGAAAAUAGUGAGAACAUGGGAGAUUUUUGGGUAAUUGGAUUCCUGCCUUUCUCUCUUAUUUCUUCUAACUUUUGGAUGGCCUCAGUAAUGUUUUUAUCAAAGUAACUAUACAUUGUAGACCUGGUUGAUAACUGUUUUUCCAGGCUGGUUGGGUUGCUGUUGGCUGAGUCUGCAGAGGACAUUUUUACAAACUGAAGACAGACUAUUAGUUCCUCAUUGAGAAACUUCAGAGAUUCCUGUGCCUUCAUUAGAUCAUCUAUGGCCUUAGUGAGAGUCUUUUGGAAAUCCUGACAAAAUCUCUCAGGAGCAGCAGAUUCAAGGAGCUGGAUUAGAGAGCGCCCACAGUCAUCUAUCCAGUCUGGUGGUAUGUCAUACACUUGUACCAAGGUAAGGAUUUCAGUUAUGGAAUCAUCAUCUGCAUAUUUCUGUGACAGUGCUUUAAGCAGUGUGACUGCUUCCAUUGGAGUCCAUUGGUUUCUUUGUACAAGUUUGAGGAGCAUUUCAGUGGAUUCUGAGUGGGCUUCUUUUCCAUUUAGAUCUGUGAGUGUGGAUAAGAGAAGCUUUAAACAUUGGAUUUCCAUCUUUAAAGUGAACACAGAGGCUCUUCCAACUGCACUUUGCAGUGAUGAUGUGAGGGUGCUCAGGAAUUCAAUUAUAAAGAGGUUCUCAGUGGAAAUCUCAUAUUCUGCCCAUUGUUUGGCUAUGAGGACAGCAUCAUUAUUAAAUCUGCUAUCGUCACGGAAAAAGUGCAUCAGGUUCAGAUACAGGGCUUGAGUCAAGAGGAAACUCUCAAAAACACCACAUGCUGAUUGGCUGAUGGAUCCCAAAUAGGACUGCAUAUGAUUGCAGAUGGUUUGUAGGGAAACUCCUUCAGAUAUUUCCAGACACAGAGCACAGAGCUCUGUGAUGAACACCUGAGUGUGCUGCAGAGUGCUGAUGGAUGGAGCAGCACGAAUCCACUCAUCAAACAGAAGUUUGUCCAGGACUGAAAGGAUCUCACUGAGCUGAUCAGCUGUGAGCUGACUCAGACUGAUAUUUGAAUGUGGAAGACUGCAUUUCACUGAGAGGAUUUCAAGAAGCUCAUCGCUGUCACUACCUGAUUCAUAGAUAGCUUCAAACUCAUCCAGAUGCUCUAUUAGAACAUCUCGCUUAGACUCACAUUCAUCUGAGAUGUGGCCACUCUGUUGUUUCUCAAGCUGCUCUUUAGCUUGUUGGUGAGAUUCUUUUAGUCUUUGAUUCAGUUUUUCUUUCUGUUGCUCCUCUUCUCUUCUCUUCUCCUCCUCUAUUCUCUUCCUUUCCUCUUCUCUUCUCUUCUCCUCCUCUCUUCUUCUCUCCUCUUCUCUUCUCCUCUCCUCCUCCCUUCUCUUCCUUUCCUCUUCUCUUCUCCUCUGCUCCUCUCUUCUCUUCCUCUCCUCUUCUCUUGUCAUUUCCUCUUGAUCUCUGAUUGGCUUGUUAAAGCAAUAUUCACAUUCAUACAAUUCAUUGUCACCAACUGGUCUGUAGUAUUCACCUCCAUUGAACACAUGCAUGUGUCGCCCAUAAAUAGUACUUUGGUAUAAGUCUUCAAAUGAUUUGCAUGGAGGCAAGACUUUAAAACAUUUGCAGCAUCUCAGGCGGCUUCCCAUGUUACUCUCCUUUGGUAAUUGAUUACCCAUUUGUGAUGGUUUGGUGUUUGUUUACUAGAAGAAAAAAAGAAAAGAAAGAACAACUUAAUGAUCACAGACUACCCCAAGUCAGUGCCAGAGCAUUUAGGCAAAAAGUCACUCAAGUGCUGCUUUAGGUCAUCUCCCAAGUCAGGAUCCUGGGAUCAUUUGGGAUAGAAGGCAGAGGCAGUGAUACAGGAAACAGAAACGAGCCUGCCAAGGUGGUGAGGGUAAAGAAAACACUCCACAAACCUAUGCUGCCUAGCCUUUUCCUCACAAACGCCAGACUAUUAUGAACAAAAUGGAUGAGCUGAGGGUACAGCUGGAAGAUAAUAGACUCACUGGGGACUGCUGCAGAGUUUUGGAUUUACCCAGCAAAACCCAAUGCAGUUGUCAAGACAGAAACCAGAACUCAUAGAAACAACAACAAGGUGGGGGUCUUUGCCUUUAUAUUAAUGAAAAAUGGGCAAAUAAUACUACGACUGUGGACAAUCACU